RNAcentral lists this ribosomal RNA (1053 nucleotides) under Triticum aestivum (bread wheat). Its description in RNAcentral is "partial small subunit ribosomal RNA". Lineage: Eukaryota; Viridiplantae; Streptophyta; Magnoliopsida; Poales; Poaceae. The record is from RNAcentral.
AUGGCUGGGCAUCUAGCCAAAAACCCAUUGCUCCUCUUCCUCCAGCCCCGCCGCCUCUGCACCGCCGCCGCAUCCUCCUCGGCCGCGGCGGGAGAACUCGCCCCCUCGCCCGUCGUCGAGGAGAUUCCCCGCGACGAUGACCUCGCGGAGGAGUCGCGCAGCCGCCUCGUGCGCGACACCUGCAAGCUGCUCGAGCUCCGCGGCUCGUGGACCCCGAAGCUGGAGGCGCAGCUCCGGCACCUGCUCCGGGUGCUCUCCCCACCGCAGGUCCGCGCCGUGCUCCGCGCGCAGGCGCAGACGGACACCCGCGCCGCGUUCGAAUUCUUCCGCUGGGCAGAUCGCCAGUGGCGCUACCGGCACGCCCCGGAGGUGUUCGACGAAAUGCUGAGCCUCCUCAGCCGCACCAGGCUCCACGACCCCGCCCGGCGCGUCAUGCGCCUCAUGAUCCGCCGCCGCAUGAGACGCGGGACGCAGCAGUUCGCGCACCUCAUGCUCUCGUACAGCCGCGCGGGGAAGCUCCGCUCCGCCAUGCGCGUGCUCCAGCUCAUGCAGAAGGACGGGUGCGCGCCUGACAUAUCGAUAUGCAACGUGGCAGUGAAUGUGCUUGUUUUUGCUGGGCGCAUUGACAAGGCGCUUGAGUUUAGCGACCGGUUGCGACGUGUUGGGGUCGAGCCGGAUGUAGUCACAUACAAUUGCCUUAUUAAGGGGUUAUGUAGCAUGCGGAGGGUUGUUGAGGCGCUGGAGAUGAUCGGUGUGAUGCUGCAAAAUGGGUGCCCACCUGAUAAGAUUACCUAUUAUACAGUGAUAGGCUUCUUGUGCAAGGAGAAGAGGGUGGCAGAGGUGCGCUCUUUGCUUGGGAGGAUGAGGAAUGAUGCGGGUCUAUUUCCAGAUCAGGUCACGUAUAACAUGCUCAUCCAUGUGCUUGCAAAGCAUGGGCAUGCAGAUGAGGCGUUGGAGUUCUUGAGGGAGUCAGAGGGGAAAAGGUUUCGUGUUGAUGAGGUUGGAUAUAGUGCAGUUGUGCACUCUUUCUGCUUGAAUGGGAGGAGAUUGUAA